GGACGAACGCUGGCGGCGUGCUUAACACAUGCAAGUCGAGCGGAGAAUAUAGCAAUAUAUUCUUAGCGGCGGACGGGUGAGUAACGCGUGGGCAAUCUGCCUCAUACAGGGGGGAUAACACUGGGAAACUAGUGCUAAUACCGCAUAAAAUAGUGAAGUGGCAUCACUUUACUAUCAAAGGAGCAAUCCGGGUGUGAGAUGAGCCCGCGUCCGAUUAGCUAGUUGGAGGGGUAACGGCCCACCAAGGCGACGAUCGGUAGCCGAACUGAGAGGUUGAUCGGCCACAUUGGGACUGAGACACGGCCCAGACUCCUACGGGAGGCAGCAGUGGGGAAUAUUGCGCCAAUGGGGGAAACCCUGACGCAGCAACGCCGCGUGAAGGAUGAAGGUUUUCGGAUUGUAAACUUCUUUGAUUGGGGACGAUAAUGACGGUACCCAAAAAACAAGCCACGGCUAACUACGUGCCAGCCGCCGC
RNAcentral lists this ribosomal RNA (475 nucleotides) under uncultured bacterium. RNAcentral's name for it is "bacterial SSU rRNA". It matches the Rfam family "Bacterial small subunit ribosomal RNA", at positions 27 to 518 of the family's 1533-position model. The record is from RNAcentral.